RNAcentral lists this transfer RNA (69 nucleotides) under Phaeodactylibacter xiamenensis. It matches the Rfam family "tRNA". Rfam says of the family: Transfer RNA (tRNA) molecules are approximately 80 nucleotides in length. Their secondary structure includes four short double-helical elements and three loops (D, anti-codon, and T loops). Lineage: Bacteria; Pseudomonadati; Bacteroidota; Saprospiria; Saprospirales; Haliscomenobacteraceae. The record is from RNAcentral. RNAcentral also lists the same sequence under 1 other name.
CGGGUGUAGCUCAGUUGGUAGAGCAUCAGCCUUCCAAGCUGAGGGUCGCGGGUUCGAGUCUCGUCGCCC